UCGAACUCACAGACCGCGAGAUCAUGCCCUGAGCCGAAGUCGGAUGCUCCAUCGACUGAGCCACCCAGGCGCCCCAACAAAGCCCCAGUCUUACAGACCGCAUCCUCUGGUGUGGAGCCUCGGGCAGAGGAGGUGUGCAGAGAAUGCGCAUGCAAUGGUUUUGGGGAAACAAUAGGGGAAAGCAUGUUUUAAAAGAUAUCCGUUGAUGAGGAGUCCUGGGAACGGAGGAAUGCGAUACCACGAGUGGAAAGUCCAAAGCAAUUAUAUCUGUGAGUGUUAAAAACGUGUUGUGUGCUUGCUUUCUCUGCCGCAGGAGAAGGCUGUUUACAUUAUGGGGGAUUGUUCCAGUCUGUACCAGAGAGCUUGUUAAGGGAGGACAGGCAGGUUGGUUGCACGAAUGCGCACUCCCAAUGAGACGAAUGGAGAAAUUAUGAAGCAAUCAAAUGGCCAGGCUUUUAGCAGACCACGGUACAUUGCCCUCUUUUGCUACCCCUAGGCCUGUUAGCAUAAAAGAAGCUAUAAAGAUAAAGUGCACAACAUUAUUCAAGUGUCUGCGUUCUACCAACACAGGCGGCCGGCAGUUCAUGGCCACGGUCCUCGGGGUUGCGCAAAGCCACUCUGCCUCCCCCACAGGCGGAGCGGGCCCCAUGCCUUCUCUCCUUGCCAGGACUGUGUCUGGGGCACGAGUGAGAGUUAGAGCGAGGAGAAAUACCUGGAUCCUUUUGGACUUCCCUCCCUCCCCUUCUUCAGAGCCCUCAGGGGAAAAGAGAGGCUGCCUGAAAAACCUCACAAGCCAUGGAGGAAACUCACGCUCUUCUUUGGACCCUGAUACUCGACUUCCAGAGUGGAGGAGUGGUCUGUACUUUUGAAAGUUGCUCUGCGACUUUCGAUGUUUCUUCCCAGGAGGCGAAAUGAUGCGAUCAGCCGGGAUGAAGUGGGAAUCGUGAUUUCGGGGGACUCAACGGCCAGUCACAUUAGGAAAUGCCCCUUCACACUGAGAAACUGUCUAUGAAGAGAAGGCUCUAUGUUUGGCAGUGAGCUUGUUCUCUUACCAUUACCCUGUCCCCCCUUUUUACUCAAGAUUAUUUGGCUGCAAGGGGAAGCAAUAUAAUAAAAAUAUCAGUCAGUCUCUGG
Molecule: long non-coding RNA, 1134 nt
Organism: Acinonyx jubatus (cheetah)
Lineage: Eukaryota; Metazoa; Chordata; Mammalia; Carnivora; Felidae
Exons: 3
Source: RefSeq, a predicted model, not a curated record